UGAAAUUUGCCAUACCUUAGUAACUACUUGUUUGUUUGUCUGUCUGUCUUUUGUGGUUAGAGCAUCUCUAAUGGUGAGGGUGCUUACACAUUUUUUUACAUUAAUUUUUAUAAAAUAAAUUCAUAAGCAACUUUAUCUUGAUGUUAAAAAUAUUGGUGAUCCAAUGGUAUGAAUCUUAAUGAAGUGUUUAAAACAAAAACAAAAUUUAUUCUUCAGUUGGAUCUUCGAUUGAGCUGCUCUUAUAAACCCUCUUGGACCAAACCACACAUUGAUUCUUCAGUUGGAUCUUCGAUUGAGUCAACAUUUCGGAUCCGAUCUUGAAGUUUUAUCACCACCGAUUAAACCAUCGGUCAAGAGAGAAAAUGAUUACGAAGAUAAGAGAAGAAAAUAACACGUAUACCCCUCUCAAAUUACCAGAAACUGAUUCGUUUUCCAUGCUUUCUUCAUCCAUGGAGAGAAAGAGAGAGAAACUAGGGAGAGAGAGACUCCGGAUAAAGAGAGAGAGAAAGUUUAGAAUUUUUUUUUUCUAUUUUCCUUCCACCCAAUAAAAAUUUGACACCUAUGCAUCGCUUAUCUGUUGCUUAAACUCCCAAAUUAAACAACAAUCCUUGCAAUUUUAUCAAUGUUAUGCAUUUUAUUCUAUACAUACAUUCUUAAGCUAUUGAACAAGCACAUAUUAAACACCUCCAUUGGAGGUG
RNAcentral lists this long non-coding RNA (698 nucleotides) under Capsella rubella. RNAcentral describes it as "long non-coding RNA (CRUB_LNC003537)". The record is from RNAcentral. Lineage: Eukaryota; Viridiplantae; Streptophyta; Magnoliopsida; Brassicales; Brassicaceae.